Long non-coding RNA from Frieseomelitta varia, 974 nucleotides. RefSeq lists it as uncharacterized. The transcript is spliced from 3 exons. The record is from RefSeq and is a predicted model, not a curated record. Lineage: Eukaryota; Metazoa; Arthropoda; Insecta; Hymenoptera; Apidae.
GAUACGCAACGACGCGCAGUGGACAAAAAUGAGAUAAAAAUGGGCGAAAAAACUCGUUAGUUAUACGUACGAGACACGCGCGAGUCAAAUUCCCGAGAAUUUUUAAUCUGGAAAUUUGCUGCAUCGAGACACACGGCGCCAUAAUGGACGACUCAUCCGAAAAAUAGGACAAUAAAUGAAGAAAGACGGUAAUUCUGAAGAUCUUGAUUCUAACUAAGAAAAGAAUCUUUCUCCAAACCAACUGUAAAAUAAUUUCGCGUACAUUGCGAGAUAUUGCCUCUGCAUUUUCAUCGAUCAAUAGCUUGCCGACAGAAGGAAACAAUGUGGCUCCGACUAUUCACACGCGGAGCACAAAGAGUCCGUCACUCGUGGUGGAGCCGUGGCGUAUUUUGUAUCGAGUUCGAUGCUUAGUUGGCUUGAAAAGUGUCGACGAUGUCUAUAGGCACGAUGGAAAAAACACUGGCGAAGAAGAAGCGACGAUAAGGUUUCAGAAAUUGUGCGACACACCGUCGGCGGCCGAGUUCAUUGCUUUGCUGGUCAAUAGCCAUUGCGUUUCACCGUCAAAACAACCGGAGCCUUUAUUAAUUUAUAGCGAGUGACUCAAUGGCUCGAGCGAGGCUACUGAAUAUCGCUGCUGCGCGUUUUCUAAAGCCAAACGGAUCCUUCUUUCCACACCUGCCAUUCAGAUAAGUUCCACUUGUUCAGCAAAAUCCCCAAUGCAAGCCCUUCAGGGUGCUAUUGAAUUAAUGAAACGUAUGCUUCAGUUUAUAAAUUACAGCAGGUAGUUUAUAGCUUAUAAUAUCUUGUUAGGCUAUUAUCAAGGAAUUGAAAGUUUCUGGUUUUCAGUGAAUAACGGGAGGAUAUUUCUGCAAUUCGAAAUGUAAAAUUCCAAUUAAUAAUACCAACAGAUUUUUAUUCGCGCGAGAAUUAACAAUGAGAGCUUUGAGAUAAAAGAAAGUUAUUUCUAGAGAACA